Molecule: non-coding RNA, 951 nt
Organism: Durio zibethinus
Lineage: Eukaryota; Viridiplantae; Streptophyta; Magnoliopsida; Malvales; Malvaceae
Source: RefSeq, a predicted model, not a curated record
CCCUUAUUUAUGGUUUAUAUGCCUUGAAAAGUUAAAGGAAAAAGUAUGAAGAUGAUGAGCAUUUGUCUUUCUACUAAGAUAUGAAGUUUGAGAGAAAUUUUUUGGAUUUGAUCAUGGUUUUGUAUUUUCUCAUUGUCAUGUUUCAGGUUGUAUCAGAAAUUAUUACAUUUAUGUUUUAUCUUUUGCAUUGCAGGCACAAAUGUGAGAUUUGACAGGAUUUGUUGAUGCAAGACAACAACUUUUGCAUUUGAAACCAAAUCAUCGCAUGAACUGGAUUGGCUUUGCUGUAGCCCACCAUUUAAACUCAAAUGGUGCAAAAGCAGUUGAAAUUUUGGAAGCAUUUGAAGGGACAUUAGAAGAUGAUUAUCCACCAGAUAAUGAACGUUGUGAGCAUGGUGAAAUGCUUUUAUAUAAGAUCUCUUUGCUAGAGGAAUCUGGGUUUCUUGAGAGAGCACUUGAGGAAUUGUAUAAGGAAGAGCCAAAAAUAGUUGAUAAAUUGACUUAUAAAGAACAAGAGGUUUCUCUCCUGGUGAAACUUGGAUGCCUAGAAGAAGGUGCCAAUAUUUACAAGGCUUUACUUACCAUGAACCCUGACAAAUACAGGUUUUUCGUUUUUGGAUUCACUUUCGGCUUGGAAUAUAGAUUAUUGUCGAUAAUAUCGACAUCAAGCAAGUAAUGAGUCGAUUCAACUUUCCUUGAGAUUGGGCAUCAAGAUUAGGUUGGGAAAUUAGGGUUCUUGAUCUAAUAAGAGGGAAAUUAAUUCCUUUGAGGGGAAGGAAUUUUUCUCGGCCAUUGGUCAAUCCAAACAAAGUAGAGAAUUAGUUGGUGGAGGACAAAUUGGAAUGUGUGAGGAAUUUGGAGACCUUUUGAAGAGGAUACCACUUGAUUUACUGCAAGGAAACAAAUUUCGUAAAGCGGCAAUUGAUUGCAUUAAGCCUUUUCUAACCUUUA